UACGUAGGGGGCAAGCGUUGUCCGGAAUUAUUGGGCGUAAAGAGCGUGUAGGCGGUCCGGUAAGUCAGCUGUGAAAGUCAAGGGCUCAACCCUUGAAUGCCGGUUGAUACUGUCGGGCUAGAGUCCGGAAGAGGCGAGUGGAAUUCCCGGUGUAGCGGUGAAAUGCGCAGAUAUCGGGAGGAACACCAAUGGCGAAGGCAGCUCGCCGGGACGGUACUGACGCUGAGACGCGAAAGCGUGGGGAGCAAACAGG
RNAcentral lists this ribosomal RNA (253 nucleotides) under uncultured bacterium. RNAcentral describes it as "partial 16S ribosomal RNA". It matches the Rfam family "Bacterial small subunit ribosomal RNA", at positions 524 to 776 of the family's 1533-position model. The record is from RNAcentral.